AUUGAACGCUGGCGGCAUGCCUUACACAUGCAAGUCGAACGGCAGCACGGGUGCUUGCACCUGGUGGCGAGUGGCGAACGGGUGAGUAAUACAUCGGCACAUGUCCUGUAGUGGGGGAUAGCCCGGCGAAAGCCGGAUUAAUACCGCAUACGAUCUACGGAUGAAAGCGGGGGACCUUCGGGCCUCGCGCUAUAGGGUUGGCCGAUGGCUGAUUAGCUAGUUGGUGGGGUAAAGGCCUACCAAGGCGACGAUCAGUAGCUGGUCUGAGAGGACGACCAGCCACACUGGGACUGAGACACGGCCCAGACUCCUACGGGAGGCAGCAGUGGGGAAUUUUGGACAAUGGGCGAAAGCCUGAUCCAGCAAUGCCGCGUGUGUGAAGAAGGCCUUCGGGUUGUAAAGCACUUUUGUCCGGAAAGAAAUCCUUGGCCCUAAUACGGUCGGGGGAUGACGGUACCGGAAGAAUAAGCACCGGCUAACUACGUG
This 486-nucleotide ribosomal RNA is filed under the name uncultured bacterium. RNAcentral's name for it is "partial 16S ribosomal RNA". It matches the Rfam family "Bacterial small subunit ribosomal RNA", at positions 30 to 507 of the family's 1533-position model. The record is from RNAcentral.